CUCUUGUAUUCUAUUAAAUGGAGCAUCUCGGUCACUGUCCAGCAGUAGUCUGCAAGCAUGAUCGGGCUCAUUUGCCUGAUAGCCUGCUAGGAGAUUCCAC
Chelonoidis abingdonii (Abingdon island giant tortoise) is the source of this 100-nucleotide non-coding RNA. Lineage: Eukaryota; Metazoa; Chordata; Testudines; Testudinidae. The record is from RefSeq and is a predicted model, not a curated record.